GAUGGACGCUGGCGGCGUGCCUAAUACAUGCAAGUCGAACGCUGGAAAUCUAGCUUGCUAGAUUGAAGGAGUGGCGAACGGGUGAGUAAUACAUAAGCAACCUACCCACGAAGACUGGGAUAAUCUCUGGAAACGGGGACUAAUACCGGAUAGGUAAUCGGAAGGCAUCUUCUGAUUAUUAAAGGUUAAAAACACUGGUGGAUGGGCUUAUGGCGCAUUAGUUAGUUGGUGAGGUAACGGCCCACCAAGACGAUGAUGCGUAGCCGGCCUGAGAGGGUGAACGGCCACAUUGGGACUGAGACACGGCCCAGACUCCUACGGGAGGCAGCAGUAGGGAAUUUUCGGCAAUGGGGGAAACCCUGACCGAGCAACGCCGCGUGAGUGAUGACGGCCUUCGGGUUGUAAAGCUCUGUUGUAAGGGAAGAACGGUAGAUAGAGAAUAUCUAAAUGACGGUACCUUACCAGAAAGCCACGGCUAACUACGU
RNAcentral lists this ribosomal RNA (485 nucleotides) under uncultured bacterium. Its description in RNAcentral is "partial 16S ribosomal RNA". It matches the Rfam family "Bacterial small subunit ribosomal RNA", at positions 28 to 506 of the family's 1533-position model. The record is from RNAcentral.